RNAcentral lists this ribosomal RNA (640 nucleotides) under uncultured bacterium. RNAcentral's name for it is "bacterial SSU rRNA". It matches the Rfam family "Bacterial small subunit ribosomal RNA", at positions 18 to 656 of the family's 1533-position model. The record is from RNAcentral.
CCUGGCUCAGGAUGAACGCUAGCGGUAUGCUUAACACAUGCAAGUCGAACGAAAAAAUUUGAAAUAAUUAAAGAAAUUUAAAAAAAGUCUAUUUUUUAGUGGCGAACGGGUGAGUAAUGCGUGAGAAUUUGCCUUUAGGAGGAGGAUAACCAUUAGAAAUAAUAGCUAAUACUCCGUAAAGUCUUAUUAUUUAAGAUGAAAGAAUGAAUAUAUUCGCCUAAAGAGAAGCUCACGUCUGAUUAGCUAGUUGGUAAGGUAAAGGCCUACCAAGGCGACGAUCAGUAGCUGGUUUGAGAGGAUGAUCAGCCACAUUGGAACUGAGACACGGUCCAAACUCCUACGGGAGGCAGCAGUGGGGAAUUUUCUGCAAUGGGCGAAAGCCUGACAGAGCAAUACCGCGUGAGGGAACGAAGGCUUUCGAGUUGUAAACCUCUUUUUUCAAGGAUGAAGAUCUGACAGUACUUGAAGAAUAAGCAUCGGCUAACUCUGUGCCAGCAGCCGCGGUAAUACAGGGGAUGCAAGUGUUAUCCGGAAUUAUUGGGCGUAAAGCGUCUGUAGGUUGAUUUAUAAGUCUUUUGUUAAAUAUUUAAGCUUAACUUAAAAAAUGCAAAGGAAACUAUUUAUCUAGAGUUUGGUAGAG